AUUGAACGCUGGCGGCAUGCCUUACACAUGCAAGUCGAACGGCAGCACGGGAGCAAUCCUGGUGGCGAGUGGCGAACGGGUGAGUAAUGUAUCGGAACGUGCCCAGUCGUGGGGGAUAACGCAGCGAAAGCUGUGCUAAUACCGCAUACGAUCUAAGGAUGAAAGCGGGGGAUCGCAAGACCUCGCGCGAUUGGAGUGGCCGAUAUCAGAUUAGCUAGUUGGUGGGGGAAAGGCUCACCAAGGCGACGAUCGGUAGCUGGGCUGAGAGGACGGCCAAGCACACUGGAACUGAGACACGGUACAGACUCCUACGGGAGGCAGCAGUGGGGAAUUUUGGAGAAUGGGGGCAAGCCUGAUCCAGCAAUGCCGCGUGCAGGAUGAAGGCCUUCGGGUUGGAAACUGCUUUUGUACGGAGCGAAAAGGUUCUCUCUAAUACAGGGGGCUCAUGACGGUACCGUAAGAAUAAGCACCGGCUAACUACGUGCCAGCCGCCGCAGUAA
RNAcentral lists this ribosomal RNA (500 nucleotides) under uncultured bacterium. Its description in RNAcentral is "partial 16S ribosomal RNA". It matches the Rfam family "Bacterial small subunit ribosomal RNA", at positions 29 to 523 of the family's 1533-position model. The record is from RNAcentral.